CGCGCACACCACAGGACCCGACAGGGUGGGGCAGAAUCCUGUAGCAGUCCUGUGGCUUGUCUCUGCUCUGUGAAACAGGGCACACACGAACCUUGGGUAUAGCUGGAGAAAAGACCUUGAUCCUCAGCUGAAGAAAUUGCACUGAACCAGUGAGAUGGGGGCUGUGUCCCCAGACAUUGCCCCCACUCUUGACAAAUAGAGCACCCAAAGAAUGGGUGCCUUCCAUGUGGAUAUUAAGUCCCCUGAAAAGCUUCUUGGAGGACAUCAGAUUUAAAUGAAUAGAAGUGGGCCCCUGAAUGGCUGAGUGAAGAGGAGGGGGCCGCAGAGCAGUUCAAGCCACUUCCAAGAUGGAGAAGGCAUGGGAACCCACGAUGGCAGUGGAGUAAAAGACAACCCCUCCCUUCAAGACAGGUUCCUCCAGUUUGCAAAGCGAGGCCAUAGAACUGGUCUGGAGGAGAAGGGAAUGACUUAGAGCGUCAAAUGUGAAAAGUCUGGUCUCUGAGUCACUGCAUGGAGGACGUCUGCCUGGGAAAUACAAAAUGAAAUCUGCAAUGAAACACUAACACCCACCCACCAGGAUAGCUAAAAUUAAAGACUGAUACCAAGUGCUGGCAAGAAAGUGGAGCAAUGGGGCUUCUCGUGCCUUGUGGCCCCGGUGACUACCUAGAGAAUGGAGAAUUCUCCUGAUAGAAUCAGCUGGUGGAAUAUGACUCAGCAACAAAAGAGGCCAACUACCAAACACGAGCCACAACAUGAAUGAAUGUCCUAUGUGACUUAAAGAGGCACAGAGUCAACUCUACCCUGAGUCAAUUUCUGUGAAGACCCGAAACAAAUGAAACUAAUGUGGGGCGACAAGAUUAGAGCAACCUGGAAGGAGGAACGUUCUGGAGAGUUCGUAAUGUCUCUUGAUAGGAGUUUCAGUGACAUGGGUACAGGUGUCUGUUGCCUAAUGUGGAAAUAAGGUCUGUGCACUUCUUGUAUGUGAUUUUUAACCUUAGAAACAGUCUACAGAAAGGACUGGGGUUUGGUUCAGUGGCGGGGUGUUAGGAUAUGCCAGGCCCUGGGCUCUUUCCACACACGCAUACAUACUGCCAUUGAACUCCAGCGGUGUGUGUCGUGAAGUGAUUAGAAACAACAUACAUUGAUGUCUGUAACUUUCUUUGAAACACAUUCUCCCCACCCCCACACACAUAAUAAAUCAAUACUAAUUUUUAAAGGAGAAAAAAGGUACAAGGGAACUCCAAAGAUGGUCCUUCUCCUCUUCCAUCCCCAGCGUCUGUCCGAACUGGUUCAUUUCAUCCACCUGGACCACCUUUCAGACUCUCCCUCAACCCCAUAUAGACAUCCAACUAAUGGCCACUCUGCUCUCUCUUCCUCCACCCACUUCAGCCACGGUCCCAAAGAGCUGCACAACCAGCCUGGCCUGCCCACCUUCAGGCCAUUAGAAACAAGCUCAAUCUUAUUUCUGUGCUGCAGAUGACUUGAAGGCAAUACCUGGGAUCUGUUUGCCUCAAAGUGCUUGGCGGAACACAGAUUCUACAUAAAUUCUCGCAGGAGUGAGGGCACUCGAUGACAGCCAGAGGCACAGACACAGAAAACAGAAGACGCAGCCUGAGCGCCAGCCUGGAUAAGAAGGAGUUCACAACCCAGGCCUGGGCCGUGGCGGCGCACACCUUUAAUCCCAGCAUGCAGGAGGCAGAGGCAGGCGGAUCUCUGUGAGUUCAAGGCCAGCCUGGUCUACAGAGCAGUUUCACACAGCCCAGGCUACACAGAGAAACCCUGUCUCAAAAGAAAAAAAAAAAGAUACAAUCCAUAUUCCAUUCAGUUCACACAUUGAAAGUAUUCAGUAGGGACUGAGGAGAUGGCUUGGUGGGUAAAGUGGUUGCUGUGUAAACAUGAGAACCUGAGUUUGGAUCCCCAGAACUCACAUGCUCCUAUAAUCCCAACUCUGGGACAUGGAGAUGGGAGCACCCCUAGGGCUUUCUGGCCAGUCAUUCUAGCCUAUCAGAGACUCCAGGUUCAGUGAGAGACUCUGCCCUUAAACAUAAGGAAGAAUGCAAUAGAAGACACUGACAUUGACCUCUGACCUCCACAUGUGCAAGUGCUCUCCCAUACACAGGUGCAUACACAGCAGAGCAUACUAUAGAACGUCUUUAGUAUAGUAACAGAUUGUAAAUCACUCCUGAAGUCAAUCUGAUUUAUGCAUUUAUUUUAGGCAGAGUUCAGACCUAGGCUAGGCCCUGAAACCUUAUGGUGAUGACAAGAUUCCUAUCACCCGGCAUCCAUCCCCUAUGUGCCAGGAUUUAGGUUAUACAUAACCACAUUUAGCCCUGUGAUCAAUUUUUAGAAUAAUUUUAUUAUGUCAAAAAGAAAUCUUUACCAGGGUGUGGCAGCUCACAUCAUUAAUCCCAGCACUUGGGAAGCUGAGGCAGGAAGAGAGUCACAAGUCUGAGGCUAGGUAGUCUUAGGCUAUAUAGUGAGUUCAAGGCCAGCCUGUGCUAUAUAUCAAGACUUCUGUCCCAGGAGAGGAAGUGGAAGAGGAGGAAGAUGAAGAAGAAAUAAUUCAUUGUAUAUACUUUAUAUAAAUGGAAUUAGAAACUGAGUCUCAUCGCUCAGGUUUAUUAAACACAGCUACUCAAAAGUCUUAGGCAGAAGAAUGCAACGUUCAAGGCCUGACUAAGUGGCAUGUGAGUUCUAGGCCACCCAGGCCAACUUAGUAAGACUCUGUCUCAAAAUGAAAAAUGGAAUGGGUUGUAGUUCAGUGGUAGGAUGUAUGAGGUUCUAGAAUGUAUGCAGUUUUAUUUGGUACCAGGGAUUAUAAAUAGGGCUGGGGGAUACAGCUUCGUGGUAGAGUACUUGGCCAGUGUCUCACUUACUUUUCUAACCCUGUGACAAAAUGCCAUGACCAAGGCAACUUAUAAAAGAAAGAGUUUGAGUUUACAGUUUCAGAGGCCUAGAAUCCAUGAUGACAGAGCACAGCCAUGGCAACAAGAACAGCUAAGUGCUCACAUCUUCCCACGUGUAGGAGAUAAAGAGAGAACACUGGAAACGCCCAAGUCUAAUGCCCUAGUGAAGCCACACCUCCUCCAAUAAGGCCACACCUCCUCCAACAAAGCCACACCUCCUAAUCCUUCCCAAACAGUUCCACCAACAGGGACCAAGCAAGUAUUCAAACAUCUGAGCCUAUGGGAGUCAUUCUCAUUCAAACCAUCACAACCAGCAUGUGCAAGGCCCUGAGUUCAUUCUCCAGCACACAGCAUACACAAACAGGAUUCUCUGGUAAUAGGAUACAUGGUCUUCUUGCUUAGCAAGUUUUCAAGGUUCAUGGGGGGCUGGGUCAGGUCAGUACUUCACUCAUUUUUAUUGCUGAAUAAGAGUCCAUUGUACACAUACAUUGUUUUUAUUUGCCAUCCAUCAGUUGAUAGAUAUUUAGGAUAGUUUGAAUAAUAUACUUCUGUAAACAUUCUUGUAGGAGUGUUUGUAUUGUGUAUGUUUUUAAUUUUCCUAAAUACACACCUCUGGGUGGAGUUCCUGGGUCACAUGGUAACCCUGAUCAGGGUAGUUUGGGAUUUUAAGUAUAUAUCUGGGCUAGUGAAAUGGCUUCCCUAAUGGGCCUCCACAGAGCCCUGAUCAAGGCUACUGUAGUAUUCCUCUCUUUGAAGAGGUAACUGUACAAUCACAGGAGAUGGACUGAAAUUGGGAAAUAGAUGUAGCCCGUUUUUACCAUAGAAAUACAGAGAGAUUAUGUUCUCAGGCAGCUGCAUCUUUUUUUAUUCCCAUAUCACCAACAGCUGUUACUGUCUGCUGGGAUCCCAUUACAGUUUUGAUUUGGAUUUCAGUGAGAGCUGGGUGAUGUUGUGCCUUGUCAUGUGCUUAUU
Non-coding RNA from Cricetulus griseus (Chinese hamster), 3878 nucleotides. The record is from RefSeq and is a predicted model, not a curated record. Lineage: Eukaryota; Metazoa; Chordata; Mammalia; Rodentia; Cricetidae.